AACCUAGCACACCUGCGGUGUGUACCUGCGGAGGGAUCAUUAAAAAGAGUGUGUACCCCUCUGUAAAAUGAGUGGGUUACCUCCCGUCCUUUGUUGACCUCUUAGGAGGUUAUUUUGAACUUUCUGCUUCGGUGGGGUUAAACCUACCGGAACACCCUCAAAUUCUUAUCAUUUAAAAAUUGUUCAGUCCGAUUUUAAUAAAAUAAAACAAAAAAACUUUCAGCAACGGAUCUCAGAUCG
RNAcentral lists this unclassified non-coding RNA (240 nucleotides) under soil metagenome. RNAcentral's name for it is "partial contains 5.8S ribosomal RNA, internal transcribed spacer 2, and large subunit ribosomal RNA". The record is from RNAcentral.